ACGAGUUUGAUCAUGGCUCAGAUUGAACGCUGGCGGAAUGCUUUACACGAUGCAAGUCGAACGGUAGAGGGGGCAACCCUUGAGAGUGGCGAACGGGUGAGUAAUAUAUCGGAACGUGCCCAGUCGUGGGGAUAACGUAGCGAAAGUUACGCUAAUACCGCAUACGAUCUAAGGAUGAAANCGGGGGAUCGCAAGACCUCGCGCGAUUGGAGCGGCCGAUAUCAGAUUAGGGUAGUUGGUGAGGUAAAGGCUCACCAAGCCAACGAUCUGUAGCUGGUCUGAGAGGACGACCAGGCCACACUGGAACUGAGACACGGUCCAGACUCCUACGGGAGGCAGCAGUGGGGAAUUUUGGACAAUGGACGCAAGUCUGAUCCAGCCAUUCCGCGUGCAGGAUGAAGGCCCUCGGGUUGUAAACUGCUUUGUACGGAACGAAAAGGUUUGUCUUAAUACGAUGAGCUCAUGACGGUACCGUAAGAAUAAGCACCGGCUAACUACGUG
RNAcentral lists this ribosomal RNA (501 nucleotides) under uncultured bacterium. RNAcentral's name for it is "bacterial SSU rRNA". It matches the Rfam family "Bacterial small subunit ribosomal RNA", at positions 1 to 507 of the family's 1533-position model. The record is from RNAcentral.